CCCGUGUUGUGUCUGCAGCGCAGGCCCCAUGUGACACACACAGACGCACGGACAAGACAGACAGACAGACAGACAGACAGACAGACGCACAGGAAGAUAAAGGCUAAUUUUUGUGUUUGUACAUCACAUGCUGGAUGGAUUGACUGCAAGAAGUUUCACUUUGUCAGAAAUGAAAAAUGGUAGCAGCAACAGGUGAAGCAAAGCAGGAAGGGGAAGCCAAGGGUGCCAUGUCAAGUACGUGACAGGUGGUCUGUCUGCCCUCUGAUGCUGCUGUACAACUCCUGCUGAACUCAGCGUGGGCUCUCUGACAGUUCCCUGGGUACAGCACAUAUGCAAAUGGUGUCAGCUCAUCUGCUGGCUGGCAGACGGUGAGUUAAGAUUGCCAUUCAUCGCCCGGAGAAGGCUCCGUCUGCUUUCCCUCGCGCUGACCUUUCUCCUGCUGGAACAGAUGCAGCGGCUCCCUGAAUUUGGAUGUGCCUCCGCACGCACCGAAGCGCUCCGGCAGUUCUCAGCAAGCCUUUGUAAUGUGGCUUUAUAUGUCCUUUUUUAACCGUUCUUGAGUCAUUUUCCCACCUAAGCAUUUUUAAAGCAAUCGCCACUUAAUGCAUGCUGUGGGCCUCCCCAUGGAACAGAAAACCAGUGACAGAGAAAGGGCAUUAAAAAAAAAAAAAAGCAUCUCUGAAUAUUUUGUUCCUUUUUAUACAAAUGAUUAAUUAGGACUCCUUCUUUAUGGAAGCCAAAGACGCAUUUAAUUUGGGUUUUUAACAGAUGGUUAAU
This is a long non-coding RNA of Melospiza melodia melodia, 777 nucleotides long. RefSeq lists it as uncharacterized. The record is from RefSeq and is a predicted model, not a curated record. Lineage: Eukaryota; Metazoa; Chordata; Aves; Passeriformes; Passerellidae. The transcript is spliced from 3 exons.